CCAAAAACGGACCUUCCUUUAAAGACAUUUGUUAUUGUGCAUCCUUUAUAUGUUGUACUAUAUCAUGGAACUUAUUGUGUUUCCAGUUAAGAAAUUUUAUAAUCUAAGCAAUUAGGAAUAUGACACCAAUUAUAUUAACGACAUUUAAAGUGCCAGCAGUCGCGGUCAUACUUUAGUUAAAAAUAAAGAACAUUAGGAUAUUACAUGAAAUAGUUUAUAAUUCUCAUAGUAAAAUAUAGAUAAUAUACUAUAAUAUUUUAAUUUUAAUUAAUAUUGGUAACAAACAGGGAUUAGAUACCCCUCUAUGCAGUGCAUAACAAUUUAUCCUGGGCACUAUAAUUAACUGAUCGAAACCCAACUAACAUGGCGGUAGUUUAAACAUUUAGGGGAACUUACUAGAUAAAUGAUAACCACCAAGAUUAUGUACAUUAAGUUACAUUUUACAUACCGUCGUCGACAGACAUACUAAAAUAGAAUAUCAUAAUAUUUACUAAUAUAAAAGGACAGAUCAAGGUGUAGACUACCUUAAUGGCUACGCGAGUUACAAUAUUUUCUAUAUUCGUACCCUAGCUUUGAUGCUAGCUAAAGGCGGACUUAAAAGUAAUAAUAAAUGUGUUUAAAUUAUGAAUAAUUUUAAUCUGUGC
Molecule: ribosomal RNA, 644 nt
Filed under: Helix engaddensis
Lineage: Eukaryota; Metazoa; Mollusca; Gastropoda; Stylommatophora; Helicidae
Description: partial small subunit ribosomal RNA
Source: RNAcentral